CCUACGGGUGGCAGCAGUGAGGAAUAUUGGUCAAUGGGCGGAAGCCUGAACCAGCCAAGCAGCGUGCAGGAUGACGGCCCUACGGGUUGUAAACUGCUUUUAUCCGGGAAUAACGCGCCUUACGUGUAGGGCUUUGCAUGUACCUUAUGAUUAAGGACCGGUUAAUUCCGUGCCAGCAGCCGCGGUAAUACGGAGGGUCCGGGCGUUAUCCGGAUUUAUUGGGUUUAAAGGUGGCGUAGGCCGCAUGUCAAGCGUGCUGUGAAAUGUCCGGGCUCAACCCGGGCCUUGCAGCGCGUACUGGCGUGCUUGAGUGCGCAGAAAGCAGGCGGAAUGCGUGGUGUAGCGGUGAAAUGCUUAGAUAUGACGAAGAACCCCGAUUGCGAAGGCAGCUUGCUGCAGCGGAACUGACGCUGAUGCUCGAAAGCGCGGGUAUCGAACAGGAUUAGAUACCCCGGUAGUC
This 460-nucleotide ribosomal RNA is filed under the name uncultured bacterium. RNAcentral describes it as "partial 16S ribosomal RNA". It matches the Rfam family "Bacterial small subunit ribosomal RNA", at positions 338 to 795 of the family's 1533-position model. The record is from RNAcentral.